Sus scrofa (pig) is the source of this 1689-nucleotide long non-coding RNA. RefSeq lists it as uncharacterized. Lineage: Eukaryota; Metazoa; Chordata; Mammalia; Artiodactyla; Suidae. The record is from RefSeq and is a predicted model, not a curated record.
UGUAGUCUCGGCUUUGCCGUGCCGGCCGAGAAGUGUGGAGGUGAAGUAGUUUUUCUCCUGUAAUCCUUUGUGCUUCUUAGGUGGGGUUACUUCGGUACCGCAGGUGUGAUUUCGCGCUGCCGAACCCGAACAUCAAGUCCUUAUGUAUUUUCGGCGAGAAAUCUCUUCACGUUCUCCUUCGCUCCUAGAAUUAAGAAGACCCAGCAUCCAGAAUAGAAAACUUAAAAUGCUGACUUCUGCUGCAGCUUGUGAAGAACUAUAGCUCCUAUGGUUCACUGCUUCCUUCAGUUUGUUUGCUCUUGAAUUCAUGGUUUAGAAUUAAAAUAUACCUGAAGGAUGCUAGGUCACAGCAAAAUUAAUUAUCUGCUAUCAGAUAUGUAUUCUUGGCAUCAGAAGCACCAAGCUCUAAUUUUCUGAAGUAACCAACAUCUUCCACAUGGGGAUGAAAACUCAAUUACCAGGGAGAAUUGACAACUUCAAUACAACGGAGACAUGCAUUUAUUAGUGCUUCUCAUUAAAUGUCUUCCUGGAUUUUUUUCUCCAACAAUGUUCCUGGUAUGCUGCCAGAUGACUGCCCCAAAUGCUUUACAAUUGUGGGAUUUUAUGAUUUAAAAGUAAUUUAAAAAUCAAUCCCUUCUGCCAUUUACUCUAAGAGACACUCACAUGCUUUGUAUUGUUCUGAAAUAUGGUCAAAUGAGAGAAGCUUUCCCUGGCCUUCAGUGUCCUCUGAGUCAGAGUUAUACCUUCCUCUCAUUUGAGUUCCAUUUAAUGAGAAUGGUAAAUAUUUUUGGUAGGCUUCACUUCCUUCAUUCUUUCUCUUUCCCUCCCUUCCUGAAGUGGUGCCAGGAAGCUGCUCUGGAAUUUUUGUCUACCUUCUAUUCUGCAUCUUUCCCAAACCUUUCUAUCCUGUCUUUUUCUUGUCUUUGUUUAACUUUUCCACACUGCCCAGUAGGCAGCAUAAAAAUUAAAAUGCAUGUAUUUUAAGAAAAGUAUGAGCAGUAUCAUUUCUGCAGAGCAAGCAAGGGUUCUUGAAACCCCGGUGUUCUUCACCCAAGAUAAAACAGAAUGAUAAACAUCUUAAGUAGAGAUAGUUUGCUUAGGAGACAAACAUUUUCUUUAAUGGCAGUUCAAAAUUCUCAUUCUUGUUUUAUAAUAUUAUUUGGGCAACACAGGUUUGCUUUUUGUUUGUUUUAAUGAAUGAAUACACUGGUUCAAUGGCAGGCUAAAUAAUAGCCUCCCUAAAAAUGCCCAUGUCCUAAACCCUGGAAUCUAUGAAUCUGCUACUUUCCAUGGCAGAGUGAUUUUGCAGAGGUGAUUAAGAUAAGGAGUUUGAGAUGAGGAGAUAAUAGAGGAUUAUCUGGGUGGGACCAAUGUAAUUACAAAGGUCCUUAUAAAGAGGAAAGCCACCAUUCUAAAAGGUGACAGGGUGAUGACAGCAGAGGUUGGAGUGAUGAUGUUUCUGGAAAGGGGUCAUGAGCCAACAAAUAUCUGUAGUGUUUAGUGACUGGAAAAAGCAAGGAAGCAGAUUCUCCCCUAACGCCUCUAGGAGGAAUGCAGCCCUGCUGACCCCUGGGAACUGCCAGCCUCCAGAACUGUAAGAAGUUCCGUUUGUAUUGUUUCAAGCUACUAAGUCUGUUGUAGUUUGUUUAUAGCAUCAAUAGAAAACUGUUGUCAUUGAAAUGUGAAAGG